AAAAAGACAAACCCUGGGUUUCCAUGUCCAACGUUUGAUUAUCCGUCUUAUAUGAAAUUUUUUUAUAAUUAGUAUUUUUAUUAUUGUUAGAUGAUAAAACAUGAUUAAUACUUUAUGCGUGACUUAUCUUUUUAGUUUUUUUCAUAAUUUUUUCAAAUAAGACGGGCGGUCAAACGUUGAAUACGGAAACCUAUG
This 195-nucleotide microRNA precursor is filed under the name Oryza rufipogon (brownbeard rice). Its description in RNAcentral is "MIR812 microRNA precursor family". It matches the Rfam family "MIR812 microRNA precursor family". The record is from Rfam by way of RNAcentral. Lineage: Eukaryota; Viridiplantae; Streptophyta; Magnoliopsida; Poales; Poaceae.